Molecule: transfer RNA, 72 nt
Filed under: Camelus bactrianus (Bactrian camel)
Lineage: Eukaryota; Metazoa; Chordata; Mammalia; Artiodactyla; Camelidae
Also listed under: 1 other name
Rfam family: tRNA
About the family: Transfer RNA (tRNA) molecules are approximately 80 nucleotides in length. Their secondary structure includes four short double-helical elements and three loops (D, anti-codon, and T loops).
Source: Rfam by way of RNAcentral
GAGGGUGUAGCUCAGUGGUAGAGUGCAUGCUUAGCAUGAAUGAGGUCCUGGGUUCAAUCCCCAGUAUCUCCA